UCUAUGGCCAUACAGCCCUAAACACACAGGAUCUCUUCUGAUCCAUGAAGCCAAACAGGGCUGGGCCUGGUUAGUACUUGUAUGGGAGAAAAUGUGUGUGACUCCAGGUCAGUCUUUAGGA
RNAcentral lists this ribosomal RNA (121 nucleotides) under Jaculus jaculus (lesser Egyptian jerboa). Lineage: Eukaryota; Metazoa; Chordata; Mammalia; Rodentia; Dipodidae. The record is from RNAcentral.